UCGGGAAUUUUGGGCAAUGGGCGAAAGCCUGAUCCAGCCAUGCCGCGUGGGUGAUGAAGGCCUUAGGGUUGUAAAGCCCUUUCGGCGGGGAAGAUAAUGACGGUACCCGCAGAAGAAGCCCCGGCUAACUUCGUGCCAGCAGCCGCGGUAAUACGAAGGGGGCUAGCGUUGCUCGGAAUUACUGGGCGUAAAGCGCACGUAGGCGGCUUGUUAAGUCGGGGGUGAAAUCCCGGAGCUCAACUCCGGAACUGCCUUCGAUACUGGCAAGCUCGAGUCCGGGAGAGGUGAGUGGAACUGCGAGUGUAGAGGUGAAAUUCGUAGAUAUUCGCAAGAACACCAGUGGCGAAGGCGGCUCACUGACCCGGUACUGACGCUGAGGUGCGAAAGCGUGGGGAGCAAACA
Molecule: ribosomal RNA, 402 nt
Filed under: uncultured bacterium
Lineage: Bacteria
Description: bacterial SSU rRNA
Rfam family: Bacterial small subunit ribosomal RNA
Source: RNAcentral